Molecule: long non-coding RNA, 2694 nt
Filed under: Homo sapiens (human)
Lineage: Eukaryota; Metazoa; Chordata; Mammalia; Primates; Hominidae
Description: non-protein coding TBX2-AS1:20
Source: RNAcentral
AUGCUGCUCUCUCCCCUCCACUCCCUCCUUUACACAUGAGGACCCUGAAUCCCAGAGGUGCAGUCAUGUACCCAAGGCCACGUACCUGCUGGUGGCAGAGCUGGGAUGGGACCCUGGGACCUUAAAGAGAGCAAGUCCAAACCCACUCCUAAGAAGCCGGUGCUGCUGAGCUGCCUACCCCUGCUCCUACAGCAAGGUGAUCCUGAGAUGCCAGGGCUGCCACCCUCCCCUGGGCUCUUGCUCUGAAUUCGAGACAUACAGGAUGCACUGUCCCUUUGCCUCUAGAGCCUCCAGUUCUAGGUCUGCAGUGGGAGGGCUGCCUUCCAGCUACACAGGGGCAAGGGAGCAGCUGCAAAUUCAGUCUCUCAGCCCAGGCAGGAAGCCUGAUGGAGUCAGGAUGGGGAUCAGUGGGGUCAGCAUUCUGGAUGGGAUAGGGGCACAGGACAGGGAGGUCAGUUCGGAUUUGGGUCCCUCUAAGGGAACUGGCCAGGGUGUGAAGCAGCCAGGUGCAGACAGGGAUAGGCUCACUAGGCGUGUGACUUUGUGACCUUGGGCAAGGCCCUGCCCUUCUCUGGGGCUCAGGCUUGCUUGUCAUCUGCAAAAAAAAUGAGGCUCGAACAGAACUCUCAGGUACUUUCUAGUUUCAUGAGUCCCUGAAUUGUGAAAAUAAAAAAUUACCACUGAGAAACCAUAUACACUUCCAGACUGGUGGCUGCCUAGCCUGGCCUCUGCUCCUUGACAGAGGGGCUGGCCCUGGUGUUUGAGCUUGUGUGCUUGAAUUGGCCUCAGGCCCACCGUGCCUUUUCUCAUCUCAGACAGUACUCUUGCUCCUUCAGUUGCCACGCUGGCUCCCACCGGCCUCUUUCCAGAUCAUGAAGGUAUUUUUCCUUCAUCAAAUUGAGAGGAAGUCCGUAGUAAAGCUGCCCGUUGACCAGGUAGUGCCGAGAGAAUCGGUAGGUCACAUGGAUUCCUAAAGGUCCCCUGAUCAGCCACAGUUUGAUUCAUGUUCUGAUGCCCUCCCAGAUGAUGCCACCAUUAGGUCUGCUGGGGCUGGGGGUGAGUCCCAGAUUGCCCUGGAUGUUAUCUGUAGAGGAUAGGAAGCGGCUGCUCUGGGGCCAGUGGCCAGUAAGGUCCCCAACCCUGGGGCCCAGCUCUCCCUUCCAGCUGAUUACAGGCUAUGGCAGGCUCCAUAACCUCCCCAAUUAGCCGGAGGCCAGGCCCAAGGCCUUUCUGAUAACCUGAGCUCCAGUGGCAGCCGCUGUGGGGCCAGCUUAUCUGGUCUCUCUUAUCCUCACCCUUCCCCCACAUACUCAAAGAGUUGCCCUGACUUCAAGCAGAUGAAUAACCAGAUUGUCCUGCAAGCUCAGCCGGCAAGUCCAGCCCUACACCCACCACUUUCCCUGCCUGGGGGAGGCCACAGCUGUUUUGCCCCUGCUGGAGGGGAAGGGCCGGGCCAGGGAGGACUCCUGACUCUGUAAGCUGCCAGCCAGUUCCCUGAAUGGUUGAGAGAGCCCCUGGCAGCAAGGUCUCUGCCACAUCCACGUGUCCUGGGGUGGUUUCAGAGGGGCUCAUGCUUCCUAGGGCAGCUGAACCCAUCCCCAGGAAGACAGGCCAUGGGCAGCAUGCACAGGUAGCCUGGUAGCACUCUCCUCCUUGUCCCUUUUUGAUUGAAACAUGGCUGUAGCUGGGGGUAGGGGCAGUGCCAGGCCCAUCAAUAAUUCAGCAAGAUGGGGAAAAGCUGCAGCUCCUCCAGCACCCCCUGCUGCUGGGGCCAGGCUAGUGUUCGCAAGCAUGCCUCAGUCUGGCAUGUGACUUCUCGCCCUGCAGGUGCCCUGGCAGGAGGGACUGGCUUAUGCCACCCUGUGCAGGAUCGUCUUCUCAGCUUACAGAGCCUAGUGUGAUUCAACAACCCUCCAUCUCUGCCCCCAACAUGCCCAACUGAUCUGGUGGAGGGAACUGAAGAUGAAGGCCUCUCAGGCACCAUGGAUGGGAUGGGUGUGUGUGAAGGGGGCAGGGUCCCCAGGAGCUGCCCCAGGUCUGGCUGGACAGUUGCACGGGAAGUCCUGUUUGUGAACUCAACGUUUCCACGGCUUUUCCAUUAAACUUUACCCCAAAUCACACCUGGCUCUGUGGGUUUCCUUCCAUUCUCCAAGGCCUCCCUGGGGUCUCUGGGAAGUGUGGGCCAGGGAAGGGGGCAAAGGACUAGCAUUCGUCUCCUUCCUGCUCAAUGCACCAUUUUUUCUCCCUGUUCCUGUCUCUGUUGCCACUUACUUUAGGUCCGGAAGUGGUGGUGGUGGGGCGGGGGGACAAAAUCAGGAACGUGUCAUCUGAGGGUUCCGGCCAGGUUUCAUGAGAUACCCACCUUCACCUGACCACCCUUCCAUCUUCUGAGUUAAAAAGAGGCAAUUACAACAAGGUGCCCCCCAGAUGAGGCUUUGCCAGACUCUCCCCUUGACAGCAACCCACCAGCACAUGGCAAGCCCUGAUCCCCAGGGAGGAGGGUCCAACCCUGUGGCACCCCAAGAACUCAUUGCCUCUGGUAACAGGCAAGAUGCUUAGAGAAUGGGCUUCUUAAAUCAGGCCCCAUCCAAAUUCCAGGACAAAAGUUCUUCCCAUUCCAAUCCUCCACUGACUCCUUCUGCCCCCAAGUUGCACAUGAAAGGGGGUGUUGGGAUCCUGGGCACUCAGGCCAUA